CCAGCAAUGCCGCGUGGGUGAAGAAGGUCUUCGGAUUGUAAAGCCCUUUCGACGGGGACGAUGAUGACGGUACCCGUAGAAGAAGCCCCGGCUAACUUCGUGCCAGCAGCCGCGGUAAUACGAAGGGGGCUAGCGUUGCUCGGAAUGACUGGGCGUAAAGGGCGCGUAGGCGGUUUGUACAGUCAGAUGUGAAAUUCCCGGGCUCAACCUGGGGGCUGCAUUUGAUACGUAUAGACUUGAGUUCGGAAGAGGGUCGUGGAAUUCCCAGUGUAGAGGUGAAAUUCGUAGAUAUUGGGAAGAACACCGGUGGCGAAGGCGGCGACCUGGUCCGAUACUGACGCUGAGGCGCGAAAGCGUGGGGAACAAACAGGAUUAGAUACCCUGGUAGUCCACGCUGUAAACGAUGUGUGCUGGAUGUUGGGUGACCUAGUCAUUCAGUGUCGUAGCUAACGCGAUAAGCACACCGCCUGGGGAGUACGGCCGCAAGGUUGAAACUCAAAGGAAUUGACGGGGGCCCGCACAAGCGGUGGAGCAUGUGGUUUAGUUCGAAGCAACGCGCAGAACCUUACCAGGGCUUGACAUGGGGAGGCCGUAUCCAGAGAUGGGUAUUCCCGCAAGGGCCUCCUGCACAGGUGCUGCAUGGCUGUCNUCAGCUCGUGUCGUGAGAUGUUGGGUUAAGUCCCGCANCGAGCGCAACCCUCGCCUUUAGUUGCCAUCNNGUUUNGCUGGGCACUCUAAAGGAACUGCCGGUGACNGCCNGAGGGAAGGUGGGGAUGACGUCAAGUCCGUCAUGG
This 794-nucleotide ribosomal RNA is filed under the name uncultured bacterium. RNAcentral's name for it is "bacterial SSU rRNA". It matches the Rfam family "Bacterial small subunit ribosomal RNA", at positions 388 to 1198 of the family's 1533-position model. The record is from RNAcentral.